RNAcentral lists this transfer RNA (95 nucleotides) under Methylobacterium symbioticum. RNAcentral's name for it is "Methylobacterium sp. SB0023/3 tRNA-Sec". Lineage: Bacteria; Pseudomonadati; Pseudomonadota; Alphaproteobacteria; Hyphomicrobiales; Methylobacteriaceae. The record is from RNAcentral.
GCACCUCGCGGCGCGGUGGCUUCGGGGCACGCCGCCUCAGGCGGCGCGGCGCAGGUCGGCGACUUCGCGCCGGUUCAGGAGCCGGUCGACGUUCA